Molecule: long non-coding RNA, 1205 nt
Organism: Sipha flava (yellow sugarcane aphid)
Lineage: Eukaryota; Metazoa; Arthropoda; Insecta; Hemiptera; Aphididae
Exons: 3
Source: RefSeq, a predicted model, not a curated record
GCCGUAGCGCGACGCGAUCAACGUACAGAUGUCUUUGGAUCAUCGAUCGGUGUACACGCGUACAAUCUGUGUGUACACACUUUCGCGUACACACGCGUUAUUCUCUCGUCUUCCGGCACGAUAACUCCAAUGUGAAAAAAGUACACGAUUUUUUUUUUUUUUUUUAUUAUUAUGAUUUCGAUCGUUGAUGACGACGAUCCGCACGUAUACAGUUGGUGAAAUUUACGAGUCGCGCGCGCGCGCACCGCAUCAACGUUCAGUCGAACGGAAUGAAACGAUCGUAUGAAUAGUACCUAACCCCUGAACAUUGUAACUGGUUCGCAUCAUAUUAUAUCGAGUAGGACAGGAAGAAUGGAAGGGAGAGAGAGAGUGAAAAAGUGAAAUCACUUAUUUACUAAAUCUACUCGGCUGUAAGACACAGCGGUGCCCCAAGUUGGUUUGUUGAACAUGAAGAUCUUUUUUUUUUUUAUAUAACAAACAAUGAAACGACUACGUCGGUUUUUUUGGGGGUUGGCUGUUUUGUAAUAUGCACACCGUGGUCAUCAUCGAACAUCGUACAACAUAAUAGCUGUUGUACAUAUCGCGUAUACCUGUGUUUAAUGAUUUUUUUCUUCGUUAUUUACGACCAUAAGCGCGUGUGUUACGUUGUCGAUGAUAUUAUAUGCUUUCAUGUUUCAUUUUUACAGAUGGCUGCAAGUAUACACGAAUGUCAUUUAUUCAGUAAAAAAAUCGAACAAAAAUUGUAUAUUUCUCUGACAACAAUUAACAAACCAUAUACUACGGAACAUUAUCCAAGAAAUUGGUAGCCAUUUGAACCGAUGGCCUAAAUAACGCGGGUAAAAAGUUCGGAAACGUACCGUGUUCGUUUGACCGUUAACGUUCACACGAUUGUUACGCGACGUAAUCGCUGUACGACGACGACGUUGCGGUGCGUACCGGACGACCGGAAGGGACGAAAGGGGUACCGAUAGUGACCUUGAGAUAAUGGCGAGGAGAAGUGAAGACGAGCGAGAGGCGGAGAGGUGAGCUUCUCUGGCGUACCGUUUACGUGCGCGCAAUAAGAAGGUGUAGCGAAAAAGACGGCAGCCUACGCCGCCGCGUUACCGCCGUGGUAACCGUCACGCGGCCGGCGCGUCGGUUUCACGCGGCAUGUGCGGUAAGCGCACGGCACACGGGCGAGAGCGCACAACUGGGCGGGCGCCGCG